Molecule: long non-coding RNA, 393 nt
Organism: Talpa occidentalis (Iberian mole)
Lineage: Eukaryota; Metazoa; Chordata; Mammalia; Eulipotyphla; Talpidae
Exons: 3
Source: RefSeq, a predicted model, not a curated record
CUCCCCAAGCAGCAGCGAUUUGGGGGCACCCCAGGGAGCAGCGCUCCCACCCCCCAAUAUCGUCCUGCCGGGGUCAGAGGCCCCCAGAGAGUGGGGGCCCCAGUUUGAGAUGGAUUUCGAAGGGCGCCGUUACUUCUGCAGUAUCUAGAUGAGUUCCCUGAACAUAGCGAGCACUCAAUAAAUUAUUGUUGAAUGAAUGUAUGAAUAAGUGGAACCUUCAAGAAGCAUGACAAUUAACUGCUCUCCAAAGACGGAUAACUGGAGGGGAAGAGCUCGAACCCUAAAUGGAGUUUCAGUCUUACCUGAAGCAUUCAUUGGUCUGGAGAAAUCCAAAUGGCCCCUACUCACACCAGCCAAGGUAUGUGCUUGAAAGUCCCUUACUACUUCACAACA